RNAcentral lists this unclassified non-coding RNA (348 nucleotides) under soil metagenome. RNAcentral's name for it is "partial contains 5.8S ribosomal RNA, internal transcribed spacer 2, and large subunit ribosomal RNA". The stretch from base 1 to 120 matches the Rfam family "5.8S ribosomal RNA", at positions 35 to 154 of the family's 154-position model. The record is from RNAcentral.
GAUGAAGAACGUAGCGAAAUGCGAUAACUAAUGUGAAUUGCAGAAUUCCGUGAAUCAUCGAGUCUUUGAACGCACAUUGCGCCCGCUGGUAUUCCGGCGGGCAUGCCUGUUCGAGCGUCAUUUCAACCCUCAAGCCCCCGGGUUUGGUGUUGGGGAUCGGCUCUGCCCUUCUGGGCGGUGCCGCCCCCGAAAUACAUUGGCGGUCUCGCUGCAGCCUCCAUUGCGUAGUAGCUAACACCUCGCAACUGGAACGCGGCGCGGCCAUGCCGUAAAACCCCAACUUCUGAAUGUUGACCUCGGAUCAGGUAGGAAUACCCGCUGAACUUAAGCAUAUCAAUAAGCGGAGGA